UUUCNGACGUGCUGAACAGACCAAAGCUUCC
RNAcentral lists this non-coding RNA (31 nucleotides) under Mus musculus (house mouse). Lineage: Eukaryota; Metazoa; Chordata; Mammalia; Rodentia; Muridae. The record is from RNAcentral.